AUUAGUUUUUUAAUUGAAGGCUAGAAUGAAUGGUUGGACAAGAAAUAAUCUGUCUUAAAUUAAUAUAUUGAAUUUAACUUUUAAGUGAAAAGGCUUAAAUAAUUUGAAGGGACGAUAAGACCCUAUAAAACUUUAUAUUCAUAAAUUAGUAGUUAUUUUUAUUUUAAAGUAUUGUUUUAGAAUAUUUGGUUGGGGUGGCAAGGAUAAAAUAUUUAAUAACUGUCUUUUUUUUUUACAAUAAUGUUUGGUUUAAUGAUCCUAAAAGGGAUUUAAGAUUAAGUUACUUUAGGGAUAACAGCGUAAUUUUCUUUGAGAGUUCUUAUCGACAAGAAAGUUUGCGACCUCGAUGUUGAAUUAAAAAUUCUUUAUAGAGUAGAGGCUAUAAGAGAAGGUCUGUUCGACCUUUAAAAUUUUACAUGAUUUGAGUUCAAACCGGUGUGAG
RNAcentral lists this ribosomal RNA (442 nucleotides) under Procambarus versutus. Its description in RNAcentral is "partial 16S ribosomal RNA". The stretch from base 291 to 442 matches the Rfam family "Bacterial large subunit ribosomal RNA", at positions 2473 to 2625 of the family's 2925-position model. The record is from RNAcentral. Lineage: Eukaryota; Metazoa; Arthropoda; Malacostraca; Decapoda; Cambaridae.